Molecule: long non-coding RNA, 3089 nt
Filed under: Anas platyrhynchos platyrhynchos (common mallard)
Lineage: Eukaryota; Metazoa; Chordata; Aves; Anseriformes; Anatidae
Description: lncRNA (ENSAPLG00000022884.1)
Source: RNAcentral
AUGCCUUUGGUUUACUGUAUUUGGGUAGUUUUCCUUGAAACCAGCAAAAGACACAACCUGAAACAGGCCAACUUCUUGCUAUCACGUUAUCGCAUACAGCAGUGUUCCUCUUCGUUCUGUCCUUCUGCGUUGUGUGGUGCUAAAGAUUGGAAAAAGCUCUGGGGAGUACAGCCAGACCUCUUUUAUCUGGCUUGCUUUUAUCCAAGAAAAAUUACCCAGCCUAUGGGAGCGGACCAUCAAAGUCACUCAUCUGUGAGCAGUUCGUUGUGGUGCUGGGAGACUGCGAGUUUUGGAAAACGUCUAUAUUGCACGAGGUACGUGGAGAUUGGUGGCUCUUGGGCUGUUUGGCCACGGCAGAUGAGGAAGCAGGCAGCGGGAAUGGAUGUGCACGGCAAAAAAGGGGCAGAGAGCACGAACCCUGCACCCAUUUAGCACGUCUUUGAAGGAGAGAGGAGGAAGGAGAAGAGGGGAAGGGGGCGCUGAGGAAUGAGACAGAAACGCCUGAGGGUGUGCUGCUAUUUGGGAAGAUUCAUCAGCUGGUGGUUUAGUAAGCUCAGCGAGAGCUCUGUUUGACCUCUGUACUUCUGGCUUUUUAUCCCCAUCUCUUCCUCCCCCGGCAGCUGCCGUAUAAGCAGGUUCUCCAGCGGCGUGGUGUGACAUCAGUCACCCAGAUUGUACAGUUGGGGCUGGGCAGGGGGCACGAGGAUGUGGUUGGGAGCAUGGGGAGGUUGCGAGAGAGCCUCAGGUCCCGCGGGCAGCUUGCUGCUGGCCACCCUAAUUAGUCUGCUUCACUAAACCUGUGUGCCUGUGAUGAGCUAGGGAUGCAAGCAGGCAAAGCUGGUGCAGAGAGGCAAUACCUCUUACUGGAUCAAUGAACAGCUGGGAAAAUAGACAAGCAUUUGGUCUGAAAGCAUCCGUUCCCUGUGUAAGUGAAAUCCAUUCCUUUGCUCCAUGCUGUAUAACACUAAGGCUGGUAGAUACUUGAAGGUCAGGUGCUCGUCUGUACUAGAACCAUGCAUUUAUUCAAUUUUAUGAUUCCAGUGCAGGAAAACAAACCAACUGGUAGGGAAAUCAUGAACAAUUAUACCCGUACAAUUAGGUACCCUGGGGUAAUUCCCCAUGUGACAACUGUGCUAGAAAGAGAGGCACUUUUAUUCUGAAGCAGUGACUGCUAAGGGAGCACUAGCAGCAGAACUAUAAUUAUCCGAUCAUUCCCAGUGUUGGCAAACCAAAAGAACGAAGGAAGUAAGGGAGAGGACAGAAAAGACAGGAAUGCAAAGAAGGCAGACAAGUGGUUAACCAGCGAUACCUGUGGGAAGAUGCGGGGCAACCAUCCUGUCUCGUGUGAACUUCAUUGGUCAAAAUCAAGGCUGUAGAAAGAAUCAGAUAAGAACUUUGUUUCAGGGUAAGAUUUUUUUUCUCAAACUCAGUUUUGAAGCAUUCUUCUGUCAGCUUAAUGUGGCCUAAUGGGUACGUAUUGAAUUUUUCCUUACAGUUUGUAAUGUGAAGAUUCUCGGUUAGGAGUUUAAUUAGGACUCGGUGCUGCCUUCCUUGUACAAAGAUCUGAAAUCUGAGGACUAUGAAAAACAUAUUAGGUCUCUACCUAGCUAUGAUUAUCUGCCUGAUCAACAACAAGGAUUUAUAUAUGGAAUGAAAGUAUCCUUCAGGGGCAGAGGGGGAUGGCAUGCAUAUACGCAUACAUUUAUCCAUAUUUUAGGCUGAAAUGCUCCUUGACAAGCCCAGAACAGGACACUACAUAUGCAUCCUUAACAACUGAAUGCACUGUAGUGGUUAGCAUACAACGUCUUCUCUUUACUGAAAUAUUUUAUCCCUGGCACAUGCCAUAAUUAUAAGCAAGCUGCUUAAUGAUGGCCUGUGCUCAUGCAAACUGUACCACUUAACUACUUGCAUUAAUAUUGUAGGAAGCCUCAGAUGCACGGGAUGAGCAGCCAUGGAGCUACAAGCAAGAAAAAAGCUCGACUAGUGGAAGAAGUAUCUAGGCAAUGAGUCGCCUCCUACAUUAGUGGGAUGAGCUUCCCUCUGGGAAUUUUUGCCUUCUGGAGAAACCUAAAUGAGAGAGAUACUCCACUGCCCCACACCCUUCUUCUCUUCAUGCACUGCUGCUGCUAAAGAGACUGUCAAGCUUCCUGUUGAGAUAAAGAGCUAUGCUUACAAUGUGUAGCCCCAAACCAGCGAGAUAACACGCUGCCGUUUGCUGUGUUAGGCAAUGCCAUUUCUGUAGCAGGGUGGUAUUUCUGAAUGGGGAGAUUCAAACAGGGAACUGAUCUGAGGGUGAGCGUGUGAGGAGUUUAAUCUAAGGGUUUGAGAUGUUCCGGAUGGUAAAGAGCAAUAUUGGGAGUUUUCAGAUCAUUUUCCACGUACUAGAGACUUUCAAAUAGAAUACACAACUAUAACUAAAUUCCAGUAUUUAUUUCAUCAUGAUAAUUGAAGGGAAAGCUUUAGUAUAAAAGAUGAUGCUAAAUGUACAAAAUAUUCCAUAAAUCUCUGUCUUUCUGAUGUCAUAGAUUGCCACUUUUCUUAGCUAUUUUAUUUAAAACUUUUCAAGUUCCCAUUAUGCUAUUUAUUAUUUCAUUGGGUUAUUUAGAUGUAAAGUGAUUUUUUUAAAAUUAUCUCCAACACAAGAAAUUUCUCAAAGUCAAAGUUUUAUUGAUCAGUAAUUUUCCAGCAGCCUCUCCUUACGUUUCAGCAGAUAACUCUGGACCAGGGCCAGCUGUUGUUUCCUGGCCUCAGUCCAAUUUUUUCCCUGAAAAUGAAUACCCAAAACGUUCAUCGUUCCCAUACCAUGGAAUCAAUGUGCAUAAUACAGAAAAAAUGUCAGGCUUUAUAAUGCGAUGCAGAAAAUUAAACUCUAGUUACUAUUCGUGAGUAGGUUUUCCUUCUUAGAAUGCAUAAUUUAAAAAAUAUGUUGUGGCUGCUAUUGUGGCUGUCACACUAUCCCAUACUGGAAUCUGUGUCAGAAUUAUAAAAAACUGCUAUAUGAGAAGAGAACCUGGGCAGAUAUUUUCCUAGAACAUGUCAGAAGCAAACUUUUUGUGAACAAAUGAAUAAAAUUAAUCCUUCUCAAGGCA